Molecule: long non-coding RNA, 701 nt
Organism: Equus quagga
Lineage: Eukaryota; Metazoa; Chordata; Mammalia; Perissodactyla; Equidae
Exons: 3
Source: RefSeq, a predicted model, not a curated record
CCCUCUCCUCUCGCCUCUCCCCCUCUCCUCUCCUCUCCGCUCCUCUCCGCGCCCCGCUCCGCUCCGCGCCCCCUCCUCCCGGCCCCCGCCCGCCCCGCAGGACCGGGGAGCGCGGCGCGGCGCGGCUGCAGGCUGUGCUCCGGGCAGCGGAGGCCGCACAGGAUGUGCUUGAGCAAACAAAACUACUUUCCCGGCCCUCCCCCACGCGCCGCAGACCUCCGCGGACGCGGCCGGCGGCCCCGCCAGGUAACUUUUUCCCCCUCUGAAAUGCGGUAUGGCUCAAAGCAUUGUAAUCUCUCCAACGAAGCUUUCUAGGGGAAUAGAUCGUCGGCAGAGGCUCUCCUCCCUGCUGGGAAAAAAAGUAUACCUCCUUCCUCCGAACCCCCAUAUCUUCCUCCUCCUCUCCUCCCUCUAGUUUGCAGCCUGCUGCAUUUGUGAAUCCGGCUCUAAAUUCCAAGAGGAAAGACACUGGCACAGAGACGGAAACCUGCACCUUGGCAGAGGCUGCACAGCUAGAGAGCUGAAAGGGGGAAAUUCCAGUAGGAAUGCCCACGGCGCGGGUGAGGGUGAGGGGAGGGUUAAGGCCACUCAUUCAGACCCCCUCCCCCUUUUUAAAGGAAAGGGCAAGAGAUUCGCUCCUGGAGAGAGCAAAAUAAAACUCUGAAAUAUUCUGCAUCUGUCUAAAGUUAUUUCAUGUUGGU